RNAcentral lists this transfer RNA (74 nucleotides) under Microbacterium phage Zooman. Its description in RNAcentral is "tRNA-Gly". It matches the Rfam family "tRNA". From Rfam's summary of the family: Transfer RNA (tRNA) molecules are approximately 80 nucleotides in length. Lineage: Duplodnaviria; Heunggongvirae; Uroviricota; Caudoviricetes. The record is from RNAcentral.
GUGAGUGUGGUGUAGCGGUAACAUGACAGGCUUCCACCCUGUUGUCGCGGGUUCGAUCCCCGUCACUCACUCCA